Molecule: ribosomal RNA, 492 nt
Filed under: Neoprotoparmelia isidiata
Lineage: Eukaryota; Fungi; Ascomycota; Lecanoromycetes; Lecanorales; Parmeliaceae
Description: eukaryotic LSU rRNA
Rfam family: Eukaryotic large subunit ribosomal RNA
Source: RNAcentral
GAUCAGCCGCCGUUUUCGGUGGUGCACUCGCCGGCGAUCAGGCCAGCAUCGAUUUGGGCGGUCGGACAACGGCCGCGGGAACGUAGCUUCCUUCGGGGAGACCUUAUAGCCCGCGGUGCCWUGCGGCCAGCCCGGAUCGAGGACCGCGCUUCGGCAAGGAUGCUGGCGUAAUGGUUGCAAGCGACCCGUCUUGAAACACGGACCAAGGAGUCUAACAUCUAUGCGAGUGUUUGGGUGUUAAACCCAUGCGCGUAAUGAAAGUGAACGGAGGUGAGAACCCGCGAGGGCGCAUCAUCGACCGAUCCUGAUGUCUUCGGAUGGAUUUGAGUACGAGCAUAGCUGUUGGGACCCGAAAGAUGGUGAACUAUGCCUGAAUAGGGUGAAGCCAGAGGAAACUCUGGUGGAGGCUCAAAAAAAAAAGGCCCCGCGGGCUAUAAGGUCUCCCCGAAGGAAGCUACGUUCCCGCGGCCGUUGUCCGACCGCCCAAAUCGA